Molecule: RNA transcript, 1834 nt
Organism: Prunus dulcis (almond)
Lineage: Eukaryota; Viridiplantae; Streptophyta; Magnoliopsida; Rosales; Rosaceae
Gene name: calcium-dependent mitochondrial ATP-magnesium/phosphate carrier protein 2-like
Exons: 4
Source: RefSeq, a predicted model, not a curated record
GCUCAGCGUAAAACUCACGCUACAGUGGACACCCAAGAAAUUAAAGAAUUCUUUUCAGGAAAGAACAAAUAGAAAAUUUAUCAGGAAAAUAGAAAGUCCUAUAUCCUCUCUGGCUAGCAACCUUCUGUUCUUCGUCUGUCUGAUUUUGAUUACAAUCACAUUUUCGUUUUCAUUUUUAUUUUUGUAUUUGUUUUUAUCAGCGAGAAAGAAAAGUAGAAUUUUGGAGUACACACGAAACAAAAUCGUAUGAUAUCUGAUCUCAGGGUGCGAUGGUGAUGGGCAGCUUCUUCUUUCCUGAUAUUGCUGCUGACGAUCCCCGGCCAUCUGAAGAAGAGCAAUGAGGUCCGGUCGAUUAUGCACAUUCGGCGUAGCAUAGGGCCUUCACCUCGGCAUCGAAAAUUCGUCUCUGCCUGCCUACUCGGAAUUGAAAUCGAUGAUGAGGAACUCGCUCGUUUUGUUGAGCGUGUUGAUAAGGAUAAUAAUGGUGUUAUAACAUUUGAAGAAUGGAGAGAUUUUCUUCUGCUUUUCCCUCAUGAGGCAACGAUCGAGAAUAUUUAUCAUUAUUUGGAAAGGGUAUGCCUUGUUGAUAUUGGGGAGCAAACUGUAAUCCCAGAGGUCAUCAGUAAGCAUGUCCAUGCAAGUAGAUAUUUGAUUGCUGGGGCAGUAGCAGGAGCAACAUCACGUACAGCUACUGCUCCUCUUGAUCGUUUAAAGGUUGUUUUGCAAGUACAAACAAAACAAGCUCGCAUUAUGCCAGCAAUAAGGGAUAUAUUUAGAGAAGGGGGAUUAUUGGGCUUUUUCCGUGGCAAUGGUUUAAAUGUCUUGAAAGUGGCUCCUGAAAGUGCCAUCAGGUUCUACACUUAAGAAAUGCUGAAAAAUUUUAUUGUCCAUGCUAAUGGUGAAGAAGAUCAGGCUAAUAUUGGCACUGCAACUCGCCUUGUUUCUGGUGGCUUAGCAGGUGCUGUGGCACAAACUGUUAUUUAUCCCAUGGAUCUUGUUAAAACACGAAUCCAAACUUAUGCUGGCGAAGGUGGAAGAAUUCCAAGUCUUGGAACUCUGUCUAGAGAAAUAUGGGUUCAGGAGGGAUCCCGGGCAUUUUAUAGGGGCCUUGUUCCAUCUCUACUUGGGAUUGUCCCUUAUGCUGGCAUUGAUCUUGCUGCUUAUGAAACCUUGAAAGAUAUGUCCAAGAAAUAUAUUCUGCAUGACGGUGAACCUGGUCCUCUUGUGCAAUUGGGAUGUGGGACUGUAUCAGGAGCUCUUGGUGCAACAUGUGUGUACCCAUUGCAGGUUGUCAGGACAAGAAUGCAAGCACACACUGCAUAUAAAGGAAUGGGCGACGUAUUCAGGAGAACCUUCCAACAUGAAGGGCUAAGGGGAUUCUACAAAGGAAUAUUUCCAAAUCUCCUUAAAGUAGUUCCAUCUGCAAGUAUUACUUAUAUGGUUUAUGAGUCCAUGAAAAAGAGUUUGGAUCUGGGAUAAAAGCAUUAUGCAGCUCCAAAUAAUUGACUAUAGAGUUGACACAUUGACAAUGGUAUCGUGAUAAAGAUGUUGAAUAAGGUUCCUAAUUGAAUAGAUCAAAUCAUUUUUUUUGAGUCAUAGCAUGAAUAAAAGUGCCAGUAUUAGAUUUCUUAAACGGGCAAAAUUGGCUUGUCCGUAAAUUUGGGGUGUCCCAAAACUUAUAUUAAGCCUUAUAUGCAUAUGCAAUGGGGCAUUGUUGUAUUGUAACACUGAAAGUAUAGUGUAACUUGAGCAUAUUGUAAUACCGCUGGUAUAAGUUAUAACCAUUUGCCCAUUUUAUGUAAAAAUUUUGUAACUGAUUAGGAUGGUUUUUUAA